Molecule: ribosomal RNA, 388 nt
Filed under: uncultured bacterium
Lineage: Bacteria
Description: bacterial SSU rRNA
Rfam family: Bacterial small subunit ribosomal RNA
Source: RNAcentral
GCCAGACUCCUACGGGAGGCAGCAGUGAGGAAUAUUGGUCAAUGGGCGAGAGCCUGAACCAGCCAAGUCGCGUGAAGGAUGACGGCCCUACGGGUUGUAAACUUCUUUUGUCAGGGAGCAAUUGGGUCCACGCGUGGGCUUAGCGAGAGUACCUGAAGAAAAAGCAUCGGCUAACUCCGUGCCAGCAGCCGCGGUAAUACGGAGGAUGCGAGCGUUAUCCGGAUUUAUUGGGUUUAAAGGGUGCGUAGGCGGAAUAUCAAGUCAGGGGUGAAAGUUUGUGGCUCACCCAUAGAUUUGCCGUUGAAACGGGGGGGCUUGAGUAUGUUUGAGGCGGGCGGAAUGCGUGGUGUAGCGGUGAAAUGCAUAGAUAUCCCGCAGAACCCCGAUU